Molecule: long non-coding RNA, 1215 nt
Organism: Papaver somniferum (opium poppy)
Lineage: Eukaryota; Viridiplantae; Streptophyta; Magnoliopsida; Ranunculales; Papaveraceae
Exons: 4
Source: RefSeq, a predicted model, not a curated record
AGUUUCGAAAAAAAAAUCCAAAUUCACCCCUCAUGCAAAGUAAGUUACAACCAUAGUUAACCUCAUUUGGGUUUCUGAGGUUUACCCGGAUAGGAAACGGAUAGUAUCCCAAUUCUUCUAUCCUCUCUGUCUUUCAGUUUCUCUUCCCUCUUCUUCCUCGUACGUAACUUUGCAGAGAUUCAGAGACGGAUGAGAUACGAAUUCAUUAAAUCCAGACGGUAUAGGUGGUGAUGACAAUGAUUUGGUUAAUGUAAUUUUGUGAUCUGGUGGGAGAAUGAGACCAAUCAGGCGAUGAACCCAGUAAAUGGAGAUUGUGUCAUCCGCAAAGGAACUGGCCCAGAUUCUGGUGGUCAUGUAGAAAUGUGAAAAGGUACACCUAAAACGGCAAAGAAAAAGGCUGGUGUUGAGAAAGCCAUAAAAGGAACUUCAACUGGGAGAAAUCGAUCACAAAAGGUUGGGGGAUCCCCAACACAUUUGCCAAUCAACACUGCGAGUAAGUUCAUUCGAUGUAUAUUACCGUGUAACCCAUUUAAGAUUUAGGUUGCAACACACAGGAAUUUAUCAGCUCAUGUACCGACCAAUUUAUCUGACACGGCCAUUAACACAUGAAGCUUAUGUACCAACCAAUUUGGGACCUGACGGAGAGUUCAUCGGGAAACAUAGACAUACCCAAUAUGGGAGACACCAUCUUAGACGGUGGAAUUAUUACUAGCCAUCCAUACAUUGAAUUUCAUUGACGAUUGCUCAAUUCAUUUUGGUAUAUUCUUAACAUAUGACUUCCUGUGUGUAGUAUGAAUCCAAAUUUACACCGGUUUGUUUUUUGAGCUACUGGACGCACUUCUGCUGUACACAGAAGUGUCGACUUUUAGGAAUGCCUGGUUUUUUUGGAAUAUCUGGCUGCUGAUUAAUGUAAGAAGCUCAAUUUUUUGUAUCUACCUAGAUGUGAGCUUAACUGAUGUCGGUCGUAUAUAUACUAACGUCUACAGAAAGAUCAAAUAGGGAUUAGCAUACUUGUGUAGGUCGCUAGUCGGCAUUAAGAGUUAUGAAUGUAUAAAUGCAAACAGUUUAUCGAUUAUGUUUAAGGAUGUUUUUCAGAUGUUUAAGCGUGCAUGUUCACAGAUAUUUAAAUAUGUGAAGCAUCAUACAACUAAUUGUUGAGGUUUUCCUUAACUUGUACAAGAAUCUAAAGAUAAUUUUCAGCUGGUUUCGAUUUCA